RNAcentral lists this ribosomal RNA (253 nucleotides) under uncultured bacterium. Its description in RNAcentral is "partial 16S ribosomal RNA". It matches the Rfam family "Bacterial small subunit ribosomal RNA", at positions 524 to 776 of the family's 1533-position model. The record is from RNAcentral.
UACGGGGGGGGCAAGCGUUGUUCGGAAUUACUGGGCGUAAAGGGCGCGUAGGUGGUUUGCUAAGUUGGAUGUGAAAACUCUGGGCUUAACCCAGAGCCUGCAUUCAAAACUGACAAGCUCGAGUUCUGGAGGGGGAAGCGGAAUUCCUGGUGUAGCGGUGAAAUGCGUAGAUAUCAGGAGGAACACCGGUGGCGAAGGCGGCUUCCUGGACAGAAACUGACACUGAGGCGCGAAAGCUAGGGGAGCAAACAGG